CGGUGACUACGCACUCUGUCUAGACAACUUAGGACAAAGGGACGCCGACCCGAUCACAGAUCUACUUACCGAUUGGAGAGUUGCAGUAGUCGUAACGUGGACUAGAGACAGGCUCAAAGAAAUACGCAUGAUAUGUCAAGCCAAAGAAAGCAAAUGGAGACUGCAAAGCGAGGAAGAUGUGUCUUUACGACAGGCGAGAGGAGGCGAGAAGACAUUGCAUUCUGUAUACAAACAGUUUGAACUAAAGGGAUUUUUGGAUUCAGACCCUGAACCUGCUAACCGACGGUAGACAGGGAGAAGGAAAACCUGCCAACUGUUAACUACAACCAGGCCAAUUUCACACCAGAGAAAAUAUUGUAGUUAUGAUUUCGAUAUAAUGUUACGACUUAUUUUUUUAAAAAGUUUUUUUACUGUGUUACGACUUAGAAACAAACAGUGCCUACUACGUACGACAAAUAAUCAUUUCAAACAUAUAAAUAAAAAUAAUGAUAUUAUGGGUACUCCGACAGAAUGUUUUUUUUAUGUUCUCAAUGUAACUUCAACAUUAUGACAAUAAAUGUUUUUAGAUUAAAUGAAUGCUUCGUUCCUUA
Aplysia californica (California sea hare) is the source of this 590-nucleotide long non-coding RNA. RefSeq lists it as uncharacterized. Lineage: Eukaryota; Metazoa; Mollusca; Gastropoda; Aplysiida; Aplysiidae. The record is from RefSeq and is a predicted model, not a curated record. The transcript has 3 exons.